RNAcentral lists this small nucleolar RNA (102 nucleotides) under Homo sapiens (human). Its description in RNAcentral is "snoRNA-E3-related". Lineage: Eukaryota; Metazoa; Chordata; Mammalia; Primates; Hominidae. The record is from RNAcentral.
AAAGCAGGAUUUAGACUAUGAUAUAGCUGUUAAGUGCUGUUGUCAUUUCCUGUGCUCAAAAUAAAGUUGUUUCUUGACCGGGCAUGGUGGCUCAUGCCUGUA